UGAAGGUAAAACAAAAGGAGAUCCUUUCUAAAAGUUGCCAUGAGUUCUUGGAAGGAAGGUGAAGUUCUGACACAAGAUUUCCGCAGGAAGAAGGGAGCAUUUUUUUCAUUCUGCCAGACCUGCGCAUUUGGAGAUACAGGCAGAAGACUAGAAGAGUACAUCUAUGAAUGCCAGUCAGAAGACAUGAUGAAAACUUCUUAAUUUUAUAACACAUAAACAGACUAAAUCAUAGUUUCAGAUGAAAAAUUGUGAGCAUCAUAGACCAAGCUAAGUUCAAAAAUUACUACAGAAUUCCUGGAAGCCUGGCACUCAGACAAAUCAACUAUCAGCAGGCACAUGGAAAGAAACAAUAUCAACAUACCAUUCAAAAAAGGCACUCAAAAAGCCAAAAAGGAAACAAAAUUACCAGCAAACAGAUAAGCAGAGAUUAAGACCAAGAUUAAUACUAGAUCAACUAGAUCAAUACUAGAUCAAGAUCAAGCAGCAAACAAUACUUCAAUCAAGGGAUUCAGACAAGCUAACAAUAAACAGUAGCCUAUUUGAGGAUCCACCAAUACUGGCAGGAAAACAACUAUUAUAUAAAUAGAGAGAAGACUCCAUUCCCUCCUAUCAUGGAUUAUGUUGCUUAAUUUGAUAAGUAAAACACCUGCUAGAAAACAACCAUUGUUAGAGAACACCAACGACCCCAUAGUUCUAUCCUGCACUGCAAAUAUUCUCUUUUAUCAUAAUUGUUCUUAAAUUAGGAUGAAGACAAUUAAUAUUGCCUCUUUCUCUGUAUAACCUCUUUUUCUUUAAUGAAGAAUUUUUAAUAAGAAAAUUUUGUACCACUUUGUAAUAACCAAAAAAUGUGAAAAAUACCAUCCUCAUCUUCCAAUAGCUUGAAAUUGCUAUAAAUCUAUUCUGUAAGUUGUGCAGUUUAAAAUUGCUUCCUUGACUAAAGUUUUUUUUUUUUUAAGGCUUCAUAUUUUCUUGCAACACUAUUGUAUUGUGGUCUUUCUCCAUACUUUUAUCAAUAUUUUUUCUGUCAAUGUCUCCAAAAUGAUGUUUAUCUCUUUCUGAAUAAUGACAUAAUUGUCGUGGCAAACAGUUUUAAAUGCUUGUUAGUUUCUUGUGGUAUGAAGCCUAAGAUUUAUAGGAUCAGAGUGAGCUCACAUAAAUACAUUUACCAGAUGAAAAGUCUUGCAGACUGAUGGUAAUGCAACAGGCUAUUGUCAGGGGAAUCCUUAAACUCAUGUCCCAAACUAAGGUAUAACAAAUAAUGAGGCCACAGCAAUCCCAACAGAGACUUUGAGACAACUAGAUAAUAGAAGGAGAAAGCAGCGAUAAAGCUUCCUUAUGGCAUCAGUUGUGUCAGUGACAUAAUAAACUCUUUACUCAAAUUACAUGAUCUGAAAGACAGUCCUUAAGUUAUGUUAAGUGUGUUAUUUGCUGUGAAUAGAGUGAAUUUGUAAUGACUUUGAGAAGAGGAAAACAAACCACAUUCAUAUUGCAAUGUGAGACUUACCAUCCAGUAGAUGCAUUAGUACAGGGACAAUCACCUUUCUAUUGUUGUAAUGAAAGCAUAAGCGGGAAGAUAAGGUUUGCUAUCUGAUACAUGUUGCAAAUCCCAAAGUUCUACAGCACUGGCCAAGCUGUAUGGGAAUGUUAGAAUUUAUAGUCCAAUACAUGCAGAAAAUACCAGCUUGUAGGGGAAAAAACCCUCUCAAAAAGAUAGUUCUUUUUAUUAAGUCAUAUUUAAAUUGUUAUCCAAAAGUAUAUUAAAAAUAUGUAAUAUAAACAAGUUGUUCUAUUUUCACAACCAUUACAGUUUAGUUCCGGGGUUGAUUGGUUAGCUGCCUUCUAUUGCAAGGAAGUUUAUAGCAGGAAGCAUAAAACUUUCUAGUAUUAAUCCUAGAAUACAGCAUUGGAACUGAAGGUUUCUUAGAUCAUCAUACCUAUUAAGGAAUGAAUUUGCCCUUCCUGAUAUUCCCCACGGAAAUUAGCAGAAUUUAUUAUC
This is a non-coding RNA of Notechis scutatus (mainland tiger snake), 1996 nucleotides long. Lineage: Eukaryota; Metazoa; Chordata; Lepidosauria; Squamata; Elapidae. The record is from RefSeq and is a predicted model, not a curated record.